Non-coding RNA from Rhineura floridana, 72 nucleotides. Lineage: Eukaryota; Metazoa; Chordata; Lepidosauria; Squamata; Rhineuridae. The record is from the annotation of a RefSeq genome assembly.
GGGGCUGUAGCUUAGUGACAGAGCAUCUGUUUUUCAUGCAGAAGGUCCCAGGUUCAAUCCCUGGCAACUCCA